This 406-nucleotide ribosomal RNA is filed under the name uncultured bacterium. RNAcentral describes it as "partial 16S ribosomal RNA". It matches the Rfam family "Bacterial small subunit ribosomal RNA", at positions 30 to 526 of the family's 1533-position model. The record is from RNAcentral.
AUUGAACGCUGGCGGCAGGCCUAAUACAUGCAAGUCGAACGAGUGGCGGACGGGUGCGUAAUGUCUGGGAAACUGCCUGAUGGAGGGGGAUAACUACUGGAAACGGUAGCUAAUACCGCAUACCAUCAGAUGUGCCCAGAUGGGAUUUGCUAGUAGGUGGGGUAACGGCUAACCUAGGCGACGAUCCCUAGCUGGUCUGAGAGGAUGACCAGCAACACUGAAACUAGAGCACGGUCCAGCCGCCUACGGGAGGUAUCAGUGGGGAAUAGUGCACAAUGGGCGCAAGCCUGAUGCAGCCAUGCCGCGUGUAUGAAGAAGGCCUUCGGGUUAUAAAGUACUUUCAGCGGGGAGGCGUUACCCGCAGAAGAGGCACCGGCUAACUCCGUGCCAGCAGCCGCGGUAAUUC